This 460-nucleotide ribosomal RNA is filed under the name uncultured bacterium. RNAcentral's name for it is "partial 16S ribosomal RNA". It matches the Rfam family "Bacterial small subunit ribosomal RNA", at positions 338 to 795 of the family's 1533-position model. The record is from RNAcentral.
CCUACGGGUGGCAGCAGUGAGGAAUAUUGGUCAAUGGACGCAAGCCUGAACCAGCCAAGUAGCGUGCAGGAUGACUGCCCUACGGGUUGUAAACUUCUUUUGUACAGGAAUAAAGUGAGGCACGUGUGCCUUUUUGUAUGUACUUUAUGAAUAAGGAUCGGCUAACUCCGUGCCAGCAGCCGCGGUAAUACGGAGGAUCCGAGCGUUAUCCGGAUUUAUUGGGUUUAAAGGGAGCGUAGAUGGGUUGUUAAGUCAGUGGUGAAAUUUUGCGGCUCAACCGUGAAAUUGCAAUUGAUACUGGCAGGCUUGAGUACAGUUGAGGUAGGCGGAAUGCGUGGUGUAGCGGUGAAAUGCUUAGAUAUCACGAAGAACUCCGAUUGCGAAGGCAGCUUACUAAGCUGCCACUGACAUUGAUGCUCGAAAGUGUGGGUAGCAAACAGGAUUAGAUACCCUGGUAGUC